This is a long non-coding RNA of Phyllostomus discolor (pale spear-nosed bat), 4040 nucleotides long. RefSeq lists it as uncharacterized. The record is from RefSeq and is a predicted model, not a curated record. Lineage: Eukaryota; Metazoa; Chordata; Mammalia; Chiroptera; Phyllostomidae. The transcript is spliced from 2 exons.
UUUAAAUUUAGUUGUAAACAGUUUAACAGUUUGCGAGUAUUUGGGGGGGGGGGGUCACUCUUAAGAGUACCACCCUACUGUAAUUAUUACUAUGUUUGAGGACUCCCUUUGAUAUUUUCCAUAUUUUAUACAGUUAACGACUUGGAAAAACAAAUAAUUUUAUCUCCCGAUUAUUGUCAUCGGGCUUAUCAUCCCCUCGUCCCUCCAGCAGCUGCGGAGUGUGGUUUCCUGUGUUUGCAUUACCCUCCCCUGAACGGGCGCACCACGAGGAAGUUAGUUACCUAUUGCUCCCACUCUGGUUCUUCCUACAUUUGCACUUUCACAGAUAAUUUUGUGACCAGCGUUUUCACAACCUAGCCUUCCCCCUCCCAUUUUAUUUCCUCGGUUGAAGUGGGAUUAUUGGAUUAAGGAAUAUGGAUUUUUGCGUGGCUUUUAAGGUGUCUUGAAUCAGCAUAUUCUUCAGUGUAAUCUUAUCUGAGCACUCAGUAUGUCGAGAUGUUUUUCUCUGGAACUAAUCAUAUUACCUCGAUUUUUAUCAGACAAUGAGCACAUGCAUUUCUUUCUGCCUGAACUGCCAGGAAGCUUAGAGCUAAAGUUCAAGUCCAGGAAUGAGUUCAUCUCAGGUGACCUGUGAUAUGUUUCUAGUUUCCGUCGCAUCGAUUUUCCACCUGGUUGUUCUUUUGGAAGACCAGGUGCUGAGGAUUGACAGUUCCCCCGGAUUUCUUGAAGAAACAGGUGGAUUAGAAAAUAAAGCUCACUCCCGUGCACACGCAAGCACACAUACCCAUGUAUUACCUUAUGUAUUGCGUCUAACAUAAAACUUCUUCUCAUUAGCAUCGUAGAGUAUAAAUUCUUGGAUCUGGAAGCUAGAAGAUGAUCUAGCGCUUUCCCCUCCUUUUACAAUAGAGACUCUGGAUUGGCGAGAGAAACGGGCCUUGUCUGGAAGCACAGAACUAUUAUGGGAUUAGAACCAAAACUAAUGAGCACCCAGGCCUUUGUAUGCCCAACCCAAACCCUGAACAAAGCAUGAGGAGCCAGUGAGUUGCUUUCCCUGUCACCUUGAUAUUUCUGCUGGGGACCCAGUUAUGCAGCAUCUGUCUUUCCUCUCUCUCUUCCUUUGAUCCCCAUCACACCACCCUCCUCGAGGUGUGUGUAGUUCAUUCCUAGCGCACAGGUUCUGUCCACGCCAUUCCUUCUCAAACACCAGUGCUCCGCUGGUUUGUUGGGGUGGCCUUGACAAAGCACUGCAGGCUGGCAGGCUAAGUCCACAGAAGUGUAUUGUCUCACAGCCCUGGGGGCUAAAGAUCUGAAAUCAAGGUACUGGAAGGGCCACACUCCCUCUGGAGGCUCUGGGGGAGAAUCUAGUCCAGGCCUCUCUUCUCGGCCAUCUUCUCCCUCUGUCUCUUUGCCUCAUCUUCCCUCUCUGUGUGUUUCUGCAUCCAGGCGUCCUCCUUUAAUAAGAAUACUGGUCACGUGGAUUAGAGCCCACCCUAGAGACCUUGCUUUGACCUGACCACGUCCGUGAGGACCCCAGCUCCAGAUAAAGGCAUGCUUUGGAAUUCAACAUAAGAACUUGUUGGGGGAUGCAAUUUGACGUCUAACAGUUGCCAAGGUCAUUUCUCCAAGUUUUCAUCUCCCUCUUCAAAAUCUUUCAUUGUCUUGAGUUACCAAAUGGAGUCCAAAUUCCUCCCUGUGGUGUUGAUGCUCUCCCACAACCCCGUGGUAAUGGAUCCUUGUUCUCCCCUCACUCUCCACGCCCCCGUCUCUCCACCCUGCCGUCCAGCUGCAUUGCUCUCGGAUUCCAAGCGUCCCACACUUUCCCGCCUCCAAACACAGGCUCCAGCGGCUCUUUCUGCCUAGAGCGCCCUCUUCCUCCGCACCAGCGGCCCGUCUCCGGUGUCUUCUCUGCCACCUCCUACUUUCACUCAGCCGUGUCUCCUCCACGCGGCCUUGUUUUGGUACCUCGCUGGCAGUUAAGGAUUAUGAUCGCUGUGUUGCAAGCACUCCGUGUUCCCUCCUGCUAUCCUGCAUCCUCCUUAAGAGUCAGGGCUCACCCAUCCGUCCACAUCUCUCAGCGCCGUUCUUUUCCAGCUCCCCUCUAAGUGAUUGCUGCUACCUUUUAUGAACACACAGGAGCUAAAGGAGAUACUCUGUUGUGGGAUCAAUAACAACACAGCGGGGUCAUCUAACAUAGCUCUUGUCAUAACGCCACGCAGACUAAGCAUGAUGUAUGUUCAUCAUGUUAGUAUGUAAAAUAAGGGUUGGCUGUAGCAUUGAAAUACAAUAAGGGUUGGCUGUAACGUGUGAGAUCGCCGGUGUGUGGGCAUGUGUUGAAUGGGAGCUAAUUACUUUUACGAGGAAAUUCCCUUUGUCCUCCACAUUUUCCCCUCCUCACCGAAAAUUCCAUGAAGUUCAUUUCUAAAGAAGAGUAAAUAUCCAGAUGGCCAAGGGAAUGACCUUUCUCGAACAGAGGGGAUGAAUUUGCUAUCCAGCCAAAUGUUUGAAAUUCUUCCACCAGCGUGCAUAAUGGAGAAAGAUGUGUUAAUUACCCUUAAGUGACAGCUGGUAGGACGGAGACCACUCGGAGAGGAAUACUGAUCUGGAGUCAUUGUGAGCGGUUGGAAGAGGUAAGGCCCUGGGCACGAUAUUUGAAUGAGCAGCUCAUGUGCAGAUUCUGUAUACACUGUGGCCUGCGGGCCUUAUGGCAACCGGCCAACGCCUGUCAGGCAACAAAAGCACCAGUGUAGCUCUUUGGGUGACAUUUCAAUGAGUGACAGAGGGAAAAAUCCCAAACAUGUAAUCCUCCCUACUUUUAUUAUAGUUCUAUGGCUCAAAAUGGGUGGCUGACAAAGAGAAAGACAAUUCCGGAAAGGGGAGUUGAGAUUUUCCUUUUCAACCCCUGCAGCAGCAAAUGGACAGCACACACAUGGUGGACUGUUAUUUAAGGGACUCUCGUGAGGGUGCAGCCCUUGACUCAGCACUGUGGACUUUUCGAAGAGGAAGCAGGAAAUACGAUCCCUGCCCCAAGGGAGUCCGUCUUGGCAUUGGGUGGAGAGCAAUUUGAUUAUCUCACGUCUUUCCAGAUCCAAGAUUGUAUGAUUCCAUGAUCAAGAAAGAGAACUAUGUUAUCUCUAAACGGCAGUAAUGUCAUGAAUAUUCUUUUGUCUAAAGAGUGACUCAUAUUCCCUGACUAAUGUAAUUUACCAUAUUGUUCAGAUUUCAUAACACAAACCUGCACAAGAGAGCUUUUGGAUUUAUUUUUCCCUUCCCUGUUGCUGACUAAAUACUUUUUCUUUCACCUGGAGCCGUGUGAAAGAUGGGAUUACUUGGCUUCUCUGAAAUCUAAUAUAAUGGCAUGUCAGCUUCCAGAGUAACCACUUUGUCGUUCAUUGGUACAUUUCUGGAAAAAACUGUGUGGUUUUAGUCUAGGGAAAAUACAUUCAGAUCUUUUUUCCUUCAAAUGUGUAAAAUGUGUGAGACUUGGAGAAAGUGGCGUGACCCGGUGAGAAAAUGAGAGCGCCCAGCAUUGCCAAAUGCUGCUGAGAGGCUGAGCAAGAGGCAGAACUGCAAAACUGAUCAUUGAACACGGCAUUUAAGUAGCUCUUGGGGAUCUCAUCUAGGACAGUUUGGGUGGAUUGUUGGGAGCAAAAAUCAGAUGCAGGGCAGUGAACAAGGGUUGGGAAGUGGCUACAGACCAUUUCUCUAUUUCUCCGCCAAGCUCUGGGCAGGAGAGGCAGGGGGGGUGGGUGUGCACGGACCGUGGGAGCUGCCCAGCCCGGGCACUAACAACGUCAGCACGCCUCUGUGCUUGCAGCACAGGCAGCCGCCCCUGGGAUUCUGUUUCGUUUUGUUUGCUCUUAGCCACAGCGUGCGUGCGUGUGUGGGAAUGCGUUUGUUCUAUUCCUUCCUAUUUCCUGUGCCUUCCUCCACCUCCCCUCCCGUGCAGGGCCUCUUAGAAAGGUUCACGAUGGGCUGGGUAACUUUCUGUCAAAUGCCUUGAGCUCUUCGCAAGAAACCUACCCUAAGAUUCUGACAAAAAA